Small nucleolar RNA from Antechinus flavipes (yellow-footed antechinus), 132 nucleotides. NCBI's taxonomy places the organism in Eukaryota, Metazoa, Chordata, Mammalia, Dasyuromorphia, Dasyuridae. The record is from RefSeq and is a predicted model, not a curated record.
CUGCAUUGUUAAGUGACCCACUGGCUCUCCCUGUGGUCUGCUGGGCCUCAUCACAAUGCAAGAGGAAUUCCCCUCCUUUCAGAAGGGCCAGCCUGCCUCGUAGACUGCCCCUCAUGGUCUAGGGGUACAUCU